This 3977-nucleotide long non-coding RNA is filed under the name Gallus gallus (chicken). RNAcentral describes it as "lncRNA (ENSGALG00010020942.1)". The record is from RNAcentral. Lineage: Eukaryota; Metazoa; Chordata; Aves; Galliformes; Phasianidae.
CACUGAUUGAGCACCUGGUGAAGGGACACAGCCCCGGAGCACAGGUGAAAGCAACUCAGGAAGGAGUGGAACCUGGUUGCACCACACCUCCCUCAGCCUCAUUUAAGGGCUGGCUGCUGUGGGUGGAGGUUCUUUGUUUGGGGAUCCCUCCUUUUGGAGUGUUUUGCAGGCCCUGAUCUUUGGGACAGAAGUGGCAUCUCACCAUGCCUGGGAACUCGAGGCAAAAUCCUUCCUGCUCCAUCAGGGAGAGAAAGUGGGGCAAAGCAGCAGUGUGACAACCACAUCCGAGAGGUGAAGCUUUCCUUUAUCCACCAGCAUGCUGGCUUUGGCCAUGUAAAUUAGUCAGCAUUAAUCCCGCGUGCUCCUAAGUCUCCUGGUAGCUGUUCAGAGCUCACUAAUACUGCUGCUUAAUCACGGCUCAGGCUCUGCUUUACAUGUCAGCCCAACAACGCUCCCAGGUCCGCCUGAUUGGGAUUUAAGUUCCGAUUUCUCUUAGAGCAUAAUCAGGCCUGAAUGGGAGAUUAAAAUAAUGAAAGUGAACUUUAAGUGACAUUCAAACACCGUCACCUGCUGCCGGCUCCGCUUCCCCCUCUGCAUUCUGGGAGCUGCAAUUUUCGGCGUCAUUCACUGCGGGGUGAUUACAGCUGCAUCUAUUCAGCGUGCUGCAGCAACCUGAAAGGAGCGUGUUCAGCUGUCAGGACCUGCACUGUGCGUGGCUUCCAGGAAAGCUCAAUAUUUAGAGUGUGUGAUGGGGUCUGAAUGCUCACAGAAAGCCAGAACGGAUUCUGAAUUAGUUUUCUCGACGUGGCAUUUACAAAUUGUAAUGAAUACGUAUUAUGGUUGUGGCGUAUAAUAGUAAGGGCUUUAUUGAUUUACAGAUCAUUAUUUUACUAUACAUCCAGAUAACAGCAACCUGCAGAAUUACUCAUGUGGUCGGGGUCAGCUGCUGAUCCAAAGCCUCUUGUUAUCUAUUCUAUUCAGAUCCGGAGCUGGAUAAAUCACAGUCCAGCACAAACAAGCUUGAGACAAGGGGAGAACGUGAAGCAGGAGGGGUUGGGGCUGCUCUUGCUUGGGGGUCCCAUUUAUAUGGACCCCACAAAGCUGCCCAGUGGAAGGUGAUGCUACAGGAGCUGCUUGAGGUGGUAUAUUCGCACACUCAGUUAUGAGUUUCCCCAUUCUUCUUUCUUUCCUAUCUCUUGUUAUCAUAAAGGCAGAAGAAUCAGGAGGGAGGGAAAGAUUCCCCAUUGGUAUUUUGAAAUGGAAAUGCACUGCAGAAGUGGAGGAAUGAGGAAAAAGGCUAUGUUUAAGGAACAGGCUGAGAAAAAAGCUUUCUGAUGGGGGAAGGAACAGAAAUCUUCAUGGGGAGCAAAGUCUGCUGCAAUGGAGGAGAGCAAGUGACCCAGUGACCUAAUGGCAUGUGUCCUGCUGCCUGGGCAUCCAUGUAUAUGGCAAAUGCACAGUGACUGCUAACUAUAGGAGUGCUGGCAGCAGGAUGCUGCUCUCUCUUAGCCACCAUUGCUGUGAAAUCAGCUUUCAGCCUGAUGUCCCCAGCCCUAUAUUUGCUCAGGGAAUGGAAUCCAAAUCCUCCUGCCCUGCAGUGAUGUACAGAUCGAGCAUUGUUCUGCUGCCUCCUCCGGAUCCCCCCUCUCCCCGAUGUCAGUGCAUGCAUCUGGUUGAUAAGGAGGGGAUGGAGGAAAGCCAAUUCCCGAGCUUGGUGUGCACAAGGAGCCCAGCACCAGUGGCACAAUGCUACCAAAAGCAGUGACAAAAUUCAGCUGAGGGACAUAGGAUGCACUGAUGCUGAGUUAGGGGAGGGAGCGUGAGGUGACAUUGCCUCUUCCAUCCCAGCACUGUGCUGUGGUCUAUGGUGGGGCCAUAUCUGCUAACUGCACAUCCAUGGGAGAGCUCUGGUGCUGUGAUGAUGUUGCAAAGUGUUCGUGCGGUGGGAGAGGAAGGAGCAGGGCAAGGAUGCAGGAAGAGACUGCUGAUGUAGUGCCUUCACCUGUACCUCCCAGGUGGUUUCACCAGGACCCUGUAACAGUGCGGCUGAUCUAACAGCAUCAUAGGAUGCUUAUGGGAGUGAUGACUUGGUAUGAGGUCGUGCCAUGUUUUCCUGCUUGGUAUCUCUGCUCCCUUCCCAUCCAUCCACAGUGACUUCUGCUGCCUUUAUCUCCCUCUCAGCAGCAGGGAUGGGAGCUGAAGAAGGCUGCCAGGCAGAAGCCUGGCUGAGCUCCCUGGGAAUCUCCCAUCAAUCUGCUGUUUGGAGGCGAUAAAGCCUUUGCCUCGGAUGUUUGCAGCGCGUUUGUGUUGUGCUCUGGGAGCUGUAAGGAUCUGGAAGUGCUGCCAAGUGCACUGCAGCUCCCCUGUGGCAGUGGCUUUGUCCCUGCUGGGGCUGCAGCUGGUGGGACACAUGCCCUGCAUUGCACCUCACCUCCCCUGUGUUAGGAUUCCUGCCUGCGCCUUUGAUUUUGCUGCCAUGCUGGGGACAACACGCUGUUCUGUUCAUUUGUUUUCUGAUAAUCUCCCCUGGUCUCCAAGGCUUCCUUCCCCUCGCUGCAACUGCUGGCUGCUAAUUUCCAUCCAAAUCAAGUGUGGCUCGUGGCUGCUCGGCAUUCAGGCACAGCUUUUAAGGGCUUAGCACAGAUUGCCUUCCAAUGAGCUGGGGCACAAUGGUAGAGGAGGGGAUGCUGCUCACAGGGAGGCAGCUCCAGAACCUCCUGUGUGCCAAAGUGCCACGUCCUGGCUGCCAGGAAGGAGAUGUGGAGGUGUUUGCUUAAGAAUCAGUGGAAUGGACUGUAAUUCUUCACAGAACUCUCAUACAUGAGAUGCUUAGGAUCUCAGCAUCCCAUACGUAUGCUUGGGGGAUGAGGGACGUUAAGCAGCUGUUUGUAGACCUAACCGUGUAUCUUGUUUUCAUGCAUCCGUUGCAUUUCCCAGUCUUGGCUCCCUUCCCUAUGGAUCUUUCACCAUCAUUAUGCUGAUCUGAUGCCAUGUUUGCCCUGGGAGCUGUAACUGUGUCCAGAGUGGCUUGCAGUGCCUUUGGGAAACUGCAAGGUGCUGAUGCUCAUGUGGUGCUGCCCAAAGCAGCAGGAAUGCAAAGUAGGAUCAUGAUGUGGUGAGGAGGAAGAGGAAAGAAGCAGUCUAGGAUGUACCUGGAAGAGCAGACCCAAAAGCACAGGUUUUUUAGCAGCUAAAGUAGGGUGCAGGGCAGUAAGAGGCUGUCACAUGCACUUGGAUAGGAUGGUGCAGCCAUGCAGGUGUAUUUAUGGCUGGGGAUGCAGGGCAAAGGCUGGGGCACCACAGGUCUUGAGGAAGCAAUGGAAAGACGAGAGCUGACAAAGCAAUCUAUGAGCAUCAGAAAUCAAGGCAGCACAAUUGCUGUGGCCUCCUCUCUGCAACUGGGGCAGCUUUGCAGCUCUUUGCUUCUAAUUACCCAUAGAUAAUAAGCGAAUACAAUAGUGGAGGAUAUUAGAAUAAUUUACUGUUCAUCAAAGAAAAAAAAGAUUGGGAUCAUUUGCCUUCAGUAUAUCUGUUUCUGUAACGAGGAUCCUACCCAAGAGAGCAUCCAAUCAGCCCCUCGUGACAACUCUCGCCAAAAAAUCCGUUACAGCUAUUAGCAACAAACUUAUUAGCUGGUAAUUAACUCUGUAAUUAACUGGAAGAGACUUCAGCAAUCAACACUGAGAUCUGGUGUGAACAAGUCGUUGCAUCGAGCGCCAUUGUGCCCGGGCAGGUCGGUGCAUGGUGACAACAGAAGGCGAUUGCUGGGCUGUGUCCACGUGCAGCCCAUGGGAUCUUGGCAGCAUCCCAUGCUUUCCAGCUCUUUAGAUGCCAAAGUGCAACCCAAUAUCUCCUGACGAGUUGCUGAACAAAAAGAAAAACCCAAGCCCAUUGCAAUGGAGUUCUUUGCAUGAAGCACUGAAUUCAUCUCUUCCUCUUUGUAUCUCACAAAGAUAUUGUUGCCUUCUGAUCUUCGG